This 257-nucleotide ribosomal RNA is filed under the name uncultured bacterium. Its description in RNAcentral is "partial 16S ribosomal RNA". It matches the Rfam family "Bacterial small subunit ribosomal RNA", at positions 524 to 776 of the family's 1533-position model. The record is from RNAcentral.
UACGGGGGGGAGCAAGCGUUGUUCGGAUUUACUGGGCGUAAAGGGCGCGUAGGCGGUCGUGACAAGUCACUUGUGAAAUCUCCGGGCUUAACUCGGAACGGUCAAGUGAUACUGUCGUGCUAGAGUACAGAAGGGGCAACUGGAAUUCUCGGUGUAGCGGUGAAAUGCGUAGAUAUCGAGAGGAACACCUGCGGCGAAGGCGGGUUGCUGGGCCGACACUGACGCUGAGGCGCGAAAGCUAGGGGGGAGCGAACGGG